CAUGUCUUUUGGCCGGUUUAUUCACUCGUUGUGUUUUUACAAAUUAUUUUGAAUAAUGAUAAACUAGUAUUAUAGUGUUGCUGUUUUAUUUGUAUAUUAAUGAUACUAUCGGUAAGAUUAACUUCAUAAUAAGUAACCGCAUGUAAAUUAUCUUACUAGUAAAAAAUAUGAAACGUUAAUUUUUUUAACAUCUUUUAAGACUGGCAACACUGAUUCAUUCAUUCACUCUGCGUCUGCUGCUGUGUUUACGUUUACUCCGAUUGUGCUUUUCAGUUCAAUUUAAAAUCUACUUCGGCUACGUUUUAUGGAUAUUGAUAGUGUCGUUUUAUUCAGUGACUUCGGCUUUUCUUAUACGGACUUCGUUGUGUUUUGUGAUUUGGACUUUUCGUUUGUGACACAAAAUGUUGCGUUGCUUGAACUGUGGGUUACGCGUUCAACGCAUACAGAGGCAUGUUGUUACAACUUUGCCUCAAGAGUUGCUAAUUAUCUUGUCUAUUUGGCUGAGAAUUGAAUAUCUCCCUAUGGAAGAUGUAAUAUGUCAUGCAUGUUAUGUAUUCUUACAAAAUGCUGAUGUAAACACACCUAGAAUAUUAGGUCAUACUAAUAUCUGUGCUGGCUGUGGCUGUUCUUUGAAUGAAGCUAGACUUCAUUCUCUCGAAGAAAAUGGACCAUUAUAUGAAUUUUUUCCAUGGAUUAGAUCAGUACAGGUAUUUAUCUAAAUCCUUAAACACCUAUUAAGUACUACUUACAUUGAAUAUGAUUAAUGGUAAUGACACAUAAUUAUAACAAUUUGGAAAAUAAUCCUUAUAACUAUAUCAGUGGUAAUAGUUUUUACAAUGACAAUCAUUUUAUGCAUUUUUUUAAUAUAUUUAAGUAUGAUAAAUGUCAGAGCUCUCUUAAUUUGCAUUAUAUUGUUUAUUCAACUUAGUAAAUCAAGAGAUUGUGUAUUUUAUAUUUUUUAACACUGCUUUAUUUUUAACAAUCAUAAAUAUUUUCAGAAUGGAAGAGAUAGCUAUGCUGUUUGUCAUAGUUGUUGGCGGCGAGCUAGCCGACAAUUUGAACAAGAUUCUCAACGAGAAAUGGCUAUACCACAAUUGCCACCUGUACCUGCUCCUGCUCCAGCACCUGCCCCUGCUCCGGCACCUGCCCCUGUCCCGGCACCUGCACCUGCUUCUGCCUCUCAGCUGGGCCAGAGAUCAGUUGGAAUGGUCAAUUUACCUCAUUACAAGAGAGCUGCUAGUACAUCAAGACACUGCAUUUAUUCCGACUGCGGUUAUGUACCUAUGCAUUUAAUACCAACAUUUAUUAAAAAUAUGUUAAUUGUAGAUUACAACUAUUAUGUGCCCCGGUAUUCACGUGUUUGCCAUCACCAUUUGUAUUCUAAUACUUGGCGUGAAUUACCAGAACAAUCAUCUUCAAUAUCAAGUUUUAGUAUAAAUCAAAUAGAAGAUUUAGUUAAUAUGGCAAAACAAAAAACUGUCACAUUUAAUUUUGAAUGUGUUGAAGAAAUGCCCAACCACAUAUGCCAUUAUUGGACUGGACUGGAAGUGUCUGAAUUCAUUAUUUUAUUUAAUGAGUUACCUUUAGCUAAUCAGGUACCAUCACCAAAAUCUGCUUUGGCUAUCUUUUUAAUUAAAAUGAGGACAGGGGACAGUAACAAGAGAUUGUCUUCAUUAUUUAAUAUACCUCGAUCAACUAUGGAGAGGCACAUGAACAUUGUACGCUUAUGUUUUAUGGAACAUUUUGUACCAUUACAUAUUGGAUUGCAGCAUCUUAAUAGAGAAGAUGUCAUAAGAAGAAAUCUGAGUAUUCCAAAUGCUUUGUUUGGCAAUCCAAAUGGCUCUGAUCAAACCAGACCUGCAAUCACAAUAUGUGAUGGCACUUACAUAUAUAUUGAAAAGAGUUCCAAUUAUUUCUAUCAAAAGGAAACUUAUAGUUUACACAAAUAUGUGAACCUCGUUAAACCAUUUCUUUGUGUGUGUACAGACGGGCACAUUAUUGAUGUGAUCGGCCCUUAUGCUGCCACUCAAACCGAUGCAGAAAUAAUGAAAGAUUUAUUUACUGAUGAAUCUGGACCCAUGCGAUCAUUUUACAGAGAGGGAGAUGUAUUUAUACUCGACCGAGGAUUCAGAGAUGCGAUCCCAGUGUUGGAGGCCUGUAAUUAUAAUGUGCAGAAGCCUGAGUCGUUAAAUGAGGGAAAACGACAACUAACAACUAUUCAGGCAAACAAAAGUCGAUUAGUGACAUUAUGUCGAUGGGUAGUGGAAGUAGUCAACGGACGAUUUAAAAGGGACUUUAAAUUAUUUCGCCAGGAUUUUUUUAAUAGAGCUCAUGCACAUUUAAUGAGUGAUUUUAAAAUUGCAGCUUCAUUAAUUAACAGAUUUCACCCGACGCUUCAAGAUCGGCCAGAUGCUUCUCUUAUUAUAGAAAGAGCCUUGAGGUAUCAACAUACUCCUAAUUACUUAGCAGAAUUUGUAACAAAUUAUAAUUUAAACAGGCGAUCGGUUAUGUUUAGACGCAUAGACGGCAGGUUUCCUCAAUUAAAUAUAUUUCCCGUAUUUAGUUACUCAGAACUGAUUAUUUUCGCAUUGGGCCCAUAUCAGGUAAAACAAGCACGAUCAUAUUAUGGCGAACAUGUUCGACAAAAUGGCUUGUAUGAAAUUGAAAUAUGUCCUGAGCUGGAACACUCUGAAGAAAUGGUUGCGGCCGUUGGAGGAAAUAGACCUUAUUUAUUAAGGGGUCGAAUCCAGUCGCGCCAUGUUGGUCGGCGUAAAUAUUUUACGUAUAUUUUAAUUGACACUCAGCCCUCGAGUAGUAAUUGCUUAGAUGCAAUAUUAGGUUACUGUUGCAACUGUCUCGUGGGUAACAGAACAGUGGGAUGCUGUUGCCACGUUAUGGCCAUAAUAUGGUAUUUGGGUUGGGCUAGACACCAAGACAAUAUAUCGCCGCCAGCAUCAUUCUUAGACAAUAUAUUACUUGUAAUUGAAGAAUAAAACAUUUAACACUUA
Molecule: long non-coding RNA, 3008 nt
Organism: Spodoptera frugiperda (fall armyworm)
Lineage: Eukaryota; Metazoa; Arthropoda; Insecta; Lepidoptera; Noctuidae
Exons: 2
Source: RefSeq, a predicted model, not a curated record